Molecule: transfer RNA, 74 nt
Filed under: Paruterina candelabraria
Lineage: Eukaryota; Metazoa; Platyhelminthes; Cestoda; Cyclophyllidea; Paruterinidae
Description: tRNA-Gly
Source: RNAcentral
AUAUAUGUUAUUAGUAUAAUUAAUUAUACCACUUUUCCAAAGUGGAGAUCUGUUUAUCUUAGAUAACAUAUAUU